RNAcentral lists this ribosomal RNA (246 nucleotides) under uncultured Actinomycetales bacterium. Its description in RNAcentral is "partial 16S ribosomal RNA". It matches the Rfam family "Bacterial small subunit ribosomal RNA", at positions 796 to 1041 of the family's 1533-position model. Lineage: Bacteria; Bacillati; Actinomycetota; Actinomycetes; Actinomycetales. The record is from RNAcentral.
CAUGCCGUAAACGGUGGGCGCUAGGUGUGGGUUUCCUUCCACGGGAUCCGUGCCGUAGCUAACGCAUUAAGCGCCCCGCCUGGGGAGUACGGCCGCAAGGCUAAAACUCAAAGGAAUUGACGGGGGCCCGCACAAGCGGCGGAGCAUGUGGAUUAAUUCGAUGCAACGCGAAGAACCUUACCUGGGCUUGACAUAUACAGGACGGGCGUAGAGAUACGUCUUCCCUUGUGGCUAGUAUACAGGUGG